Molecule: transfer RNA, 70 nt
Filed under: Paractinoplanes atraurantiacus
Lineage: Bacteria; Bacillati; Actinomycetota; Actinomycetes; Micromonosporales; Micromonosporaceae
Description: Actinoplanes sp. Y16 tRNA
Rfam family: tRNA
About the family: Transfer RNA (tRNA) molecules are approximately 80 nucleotides in length. Their secondary structure includes four short double-helical elements and three loops (D, anti-codon, and T loops).
Source: Rfam by way of RNAcentral
ACAUCCGCCGUUCCGGAUCUCACGUCGCCCUCCGGAGGCGAAAGCGCAGGUUCGAAUCCUGCCGGGGGCA